CGGGGUUUAGCUCAGUUGGAAGAGCGCGCGGUUUGGGACCGUGAGGUCGGAGGUUCGAGCCCUCUAACCCCGA
RNAcentral lists this transfer RNA (73 nucleotides) under Candidatus Levyibacteriota bacterium. Its description in RNAcentral is "tRNA-Pro". It matches the Rfam family "tRNA". Rfam says of the family: Transfer RNA (tRNA) molecules are approximately 80 nucleotides in length. Their secondary structure includes four short double-helical elements and three loops (D, anti-codon, and T loops). The record is from RNAcentral. Lineage: Bacteria; Candidatus Levyibacteriota.